GGUAGUGUGGUCGAGAGCUAGGUGGCGAGUUGUAGCCUCGCUAAGGGGGAAAACACAAUAGGCGCCCCCACUACCA
RNAcentral lists this transfer RNA (76 nucleotides) under Hemiphyllodactylus zwegabinensis (Zwegabin Mountain slender gecko). RNAcentral describes it as "tRNA-Tyr". The record is from RNAcentral. Lineage: Eukaryota; Metazoa; Chordata; Lepidosauria; Squamata; Gekkonidae.